CGACCCCGCGGUUUGCUACAUCGAUGUCGGCUCUUCCCACCCUGGAGGUGCAGCUGCCUCCAAGGGUAGGGCUGCCCGCCCGUUAAAGGGGAACGUGAGCUGGGUUUAGACCGUCGCGAGACAGGUCGGACUCUAAGGGUUGGGGGUGCGAAGCGGCUGAGGGAAAGGAACUCCUAGUACGAGAGGAACAGAGUUCCGGGGCCUCUAGUCUACCGGUUGUCCGACAGGGCACUGCCGGGCAGCCACGCCCUGAGGGAUAAACACUGAAAGCAUCUAAGUGUGAAGCCCUCCCCGAAAAGAGCCGCUUUGCCGGUGCCCGCAAGGGUGCUGGUGGGCCUUCCCCUAGAAGAGGGGGUUGAUAGGGACGGGGUGUAAGUCCCGAGGGAAACCGAGGGAUGAGCCCGCGUCUACUAAUCGGGCUAUCCCUAGUCAGC
Molecule: ribosomal RNA, 434 nt
Filed under: Sulfuracidifex metallicus
Lineage: Archaea; Thermoproteati; Thermoproteota; Thermoprotei; Sulfolobales; Sulfolobaceae
Description: partial 23S ribosomal RNA
Rfam family: Archaeal large subunit ribosomal RNA
Source: RNAcentral